This is a non-coding RNA of Neomonachus schauinslandi (Hawaiian monk seal), 518 nucleotides long. NCBI's taxonomy places the organism in Eukaryota, Metazoa, Chordata, Mammalia, Carnivora, Phocidae. The record is from the annotation of a RefSeq genome assembly.
GAGAGGAGUCCAUCGCUGGGAUCCCUAGGUGUUCCCAUUCAGUGAUCAGGACUGAACACAGACAAUUCACCAUGGAGUUCUUACUUGGCUGGGUUUUCCUUGUUGCUCUUUUAAAAGGUGUCCAGUGUGAGGUGCAGCUGGUGGAGACUGGGGGAGACCUGGUGAAGCCUGGGGGGUCCCUGAGACUCUCCUGUGCAGCCUCUGGAUUCACCUUCAGUAGCUACUACAUGAGCUGGGUCCGCCCGGCUCCAGGCAAGGGGCUGCAGUGGGUCGCAUGGAUUAGCGAUGAUGGAAGUAGCACAAGCUACGCAGACUCUGUGAAGGGCCGAUUCGCCAUCUCCAGAGACAAUGGCAAGAACACACUGUAUCUGCAGAUGAACAGCCUGAGAGCCGAGGACAUGGCCGUGUAUUACCGUGCAAAGGACACAGUGAGGGGAAGUCAGUGUGAGCCCAGACACAAACCUCAAUGUACAAGGGGAUCAGAACCACCAGGGGGUGCACAGCAAUUCUGUCUUUAA